UACAGAGGUGGCAAGCGUUGUUCGGAAUUACUGGGCGUAAAGGGCGCGUAGGCGGCCUUCUAAGUCAGACGUGAAAUCCCCAGGCUUAACUUGGGAACUGCGUCUGAUACUGGGAGGCUUGAGUGCGGGAGAGGGAUGUGGAAUUCCAGGUGUAGCGGUGAAAUGCGUAGAUAUCAGGAGGAACACCGAUGGCGAAGGCAGGUCUCUGGGCCACUACUGACGCUGAGAAGCGAAAGCGUGGGGAGCGAACAGG
Molecule: ribosomal RNA, 253 nt
Filed under: uncultured bacterium
Lineage: Bacteria
Description: partial 16S ribosomal RNA
Rfam family: Bacterial small subunit ribosomal RNA
Source: RNAcentral